GACGAACGCUGGCGGCGUGCUUAACACAUGCAAGUCGAACGGAAAGGCCCUGCUUUUGUGGGGUGCUCGAGUGGCGAACGGGUGAGUAACACGUGAGUAACCUGCCCUUGACUUUGGGAUAACUUCAGGAAACUGGGGCUAAUACCGGAUAGGAGCUCCUGCUGCAUGGUGGGGGUUGGAAAGUUUCGGCGGUUGGGGAUGGACUCGCGGCUUAUCAGCUUGUUGGUGGGGUAGUGGCUUACCCAGGCUUUGACGGGUAGCCGGCCUGAGAGGGUGACCGGCCACAUUGGGACUGAGAUACGGCCCAGACUCCUACGGGAGGCAGCAGUGGGGAAUAUUGCACAAUGGGCGGAAGCCUGAUGCAGCAACGCCGCGUGCGGGAUGACGGCCUUCGGGUUGUAAACCGCUUUCGCCUGUGACGAAGCGUGAGUGACGGUAAUGGGUAAAGAAGCACCGGCUAACUACG
Molecule: ribosomal RNA, 466 nt
Filed under: uncultured bacterium
Lineage: Bacteria
Description: partial 16S ribosomal RNA
Rfam family: Bacterial small subunit ribosomal RNA
Source: RNAcentral